GAAUGAUGGAGACCGUAAUGCACUUUGUGAGAUGCGCCUUGCAAAGUUGGAUGCGUUUAGUAUCAUGAACUCCGUGGUGGUCCUCUUGGAUAGUUCCAGGGAGUAUAAAGCCAUUCUGGAUUGGAAAAGUGCAUUAGUACCCUCAAUUGCUCGAGGAGCUGAAUUGAGGCGUGAUUUGAGUUUCGCGGACGAAACUCUUUUUAAGGGGUGGAGAACGUAAUAUACCGAACUUCUAUAGUUAUGAAGUUUCAGUGGAUGUUAGGAACCAUUGGAAUCGUUACGGCGAAGUUCGGGAGUGUUCGGGAGUUUUCGGUGCGCGUUGGGCGUGAAAACAGAACCCGAAAUGCUAUGUUGGACCAUGGACAAAAUCUGGCAUAAGCGUGAAUGAAAAGAUGGUUUGAACGCUGUAACACACUGGACCUUUGCAAAUUGCAAGGUUCGAGUGUUUGAUUUGUGUUUCGAG
RNAcentral lists this long non-coding RNA (463 nucleotides) under Ananas comosus (pineapple). RNAcentral's name for it is "long non-coding RNA (ACOM_LNC003458)". The record is from RNAcentral. Lineage: Eukaryota; Viridiplantae; Streptophyta; Magnoliopsida; Poales; Bromeliaceae.